UAAAUCUCCAGUGUGUGUUCUGAGAGUCUUGAACUAAUGAGAUCCUGGUAAACAGCCUGAAAUGGACUUUGCAGAUUCUACAUAAAGCAUCAACUGAUUUUCUCAGCACACAUUAUCAAAUUCCCUUCCCAUUUAAAGUUUGCUUUUUAUCAGAUGUAACCCUUUCCUGAGCCUGUGUUGUGAAUAUUUACAAAUGAUGCAGUCUGUGAGAUUCUUCAAAUACACAGGAGAGAGAUACAAGGCCACUCUGUGUGUUUACAUAACAUGUUUCUUUCCUGAAAAUGUCUCUGAAGAAUCACCAGUUUUUUGAAGAAUCACCAGUAUGGUUACUUGGAAGUAGUCAAGAUCUUGGACAAAGCAGUUUCUUCAGGUGAAGCAAUUCCCAAGAAGGGUUGGUGUGGGAGACUAUAUUCUGCCAGCGAAUGAAGGAAUAGUCUUACAUUCUUAAAGGGAUAUUUGAACAUCACAGGGCCACCACACUAUAUCAUUACUUUUUUUUCCUUUGCAAUUUGAGUCUCCAGUGCAUAAGGACUACUUCUGUCACUUCAUAUUUUAAAAUCAUUAAGCAAUAAACAAAAGUGACAAUGCAUACAUAUUUGCUCUGCUUAUAUUUUUAAAUGAUAUUUACUCAAGCAUGUUAUUUCAUAUUAAUUGUUUAUAUACUCAUUGAAUUGAUCAAAUACACAAGGUGUUGGGAAUUCUGUACUUUGGCUAACAAAAAAAUCUCCUUCCUCAUAGAGGUUACAAAAGCAUUUGUGAUUAAUCUGAUCAAGUACAAUUAGAGACAGCUCUAACUCGUCUAAAAGAAAAUUUAGGUUCCUGUUAUAUGCCUUGGUAUGUGAAGACUCUAGCCUCUACCAAGUUAAUUUCAUAGAUUUUGUAUUUGCCCUUGCCUAACAAUUAGCAUUACUUUUCAAAUCAAACCUGUUGGCUUGUGUUAAAAACCCAUCAGUUCCUCUCCACCACUUCUCAAGAACCAUCCAAAGCUUUGGUCUAACAUAUGGC
This 1005-nucleotide long non-coding RNA is filed under the name Heterocephalus glaber (naked mole-rat). Its description in RNAcentral is "lncRNA (ENSHGLG00100050560.1)". The record is from RNAcentral. Lineage: Eukaryota; Metazoa; Chordata; Mammalia; Rodentia; Bathyergidae.